AAUUUUGGACAAUGGGCGCAAGCCUGAUCCAGCCAUGCCGCGUGAGUGAAGAAGGCCUUCGGGUUGUAAAGCUCUUUCAGCCGGGAAGAAACGGGUUUGGUUAAUAACCGUAUUUAAUGACGGUACCGUCAGAAGAAGCACCGGCUAACUACGUGCCAGCAGCCGCGGUAAUACGUAGGGUGCGAGCGUUAAUCGGAAUUACUGGGCGUAAAGCGUGCGCAGGCGGUUUUGUAAGACAGAUGUGAAAUCCCCGGGCUCAACCUGGGAACUGCAUUUGGGACUGCAAGACUAGAGUGUGGCAGAGGGGGGUAGAAUUCCACGUGUAGCAGUGAAAUGCGUAGAUAUGUGGAGGAAUACCAAUGGCGAAGGCAGCCCCCUGGGUUAACACUGACGCUCAUGCACGAAAGCGUGGGGAGCAAACAGGAUUAGAUACCCUGGUAGUCCACGCCCUAAACGAUGUCAACUAGGUGUUGGGGAAGGAGACUUCUUUAGUACCGCAGCUAACGCGUGAAGUGACCGC
Molecule: ribosomal RNA, 520 nt
Filed under: uncultured beta proteobacterium
Lineage: Bacteria; Pseudomonadati; Pseudomonadota; Betaproteobacteria
Description: bacterial SSU rRNA
Rfam family: Bacterial small subunit ribosomal RNA
Source: RNAcentral